GGAUCGAUGAUGACUUCCUUAUAUACAUUCCUUGGAAAGCUGAACAAAAUGAGUGAAAACUCUAUACCGUCAUCCUCGUCGAACUGAGGUCCAGCACAUUGCUCUUACAGGGGCUAGAGAGAGAGGGACAAAUUUCAUUUGAUGAUGCCCAUUGCACCAAGGGGUUCUGUCCAGGCUUAGGAUGGGGUCUCGUUUGGGCAAAGGAGAAUGGCAGGGGAGUGGAGGCUAUGUACACAGGAGAUUCCUUGUUUGAAGGACUCUAUUUGUGAGGCCAGGGUACCACACAUGCUGUCCGCAGGAGUAGGUGAAUGUGCAGUUGCCCAGGAAGAGUUAGCCUGUAGCCUGCCUCUGCAUGGCAGUUUGUCCUUGGGUCCUGGCUCUGGAUUUCCAUGUUCCUUGGAGGAGGAUAGGUGAUUUUGCUUGAGAAGACAGCACAGUACCAUACUUUUGUUGUUUUUCUGCUCAUUUCAUCGUCCAUUGAGGACAAUGAAGUUGUGGUCAGCAGGCAUAGCUUUCAGGCCAGCGUGCCCAUGUUGUGUCCCAUGCAUUGUGAGCACAUGCAUGUGGCAUGAACACAUAGGCUGCCACUCCAAGCUGAGUCUGAUAGGCAAUGAGACUCUGGCUUAUCCUGAUCCCGGUGUAGAUCAAAGUCUUCCCAGUAGGAUUGCAUGGCCCCGAGGCUAUUGUGAGCUGCAUUGCAGGUGUGGAAGCAAGGGUGUUGAGAGGGAUGCUCAACAUUAGUGCUCUUUAGCGAGAUGAUGCACUAUAAGGGCACCCUGAACCCAGACGUGCAUCCCUAUGUACGUGCAUUUCUGUGUCCAUAAAUAGUUGAAGCCAGACAGCCAGAUUCCAGAUGUAUCGCAGGGGGCUGGAUGACAUGGCCCUUGUCACCUGUGUACCUGUCUGCCUUUCUGAAGCACGCUUGUGUUUCCUCUACACCUCCCAGGUAGCAUUGGCAUGGAAGGCAGGCCCAUGUUGGUGAGGGACAAUUGUUAUCUUGUGUGAGCCGCAGGGAUACCAGGAAACCCCUGGACACAAAUGGCAAAGGCUUCUUUGGAAGUUGUUGGAUCCCUUCUGCAUGUAAGCAGUUCUUUCCCAGAGCGCUCUGAUUUUCCUCAUUUGCAGGGACAAACACUGUGCGUGGAUCGAUGAUGACUUCCAUAUAUACAUUCCUUGGAAAGCUGAACAAAAUGAGUGAAAACUCUAUACCGUCAUCCUCGUCGAACUGAGGUGGUGUUGGCAUGAAAGGCAGGCUUGUAUCAUGAGGAAUGAUUGUCAUCUUGUCUGAUUCUUGGAGAUGGCAGGAAGCCCCUGGAAACACAUGGUGUGGACUCUUUCACAGGCUGUUGAAACCCUCCUGAAUGUGAGGCCAGAGACAGGCAGACAGCAGAUGUAUUGCAGGGAGCUGGAUGACAUGGCCCUUGGAACCUGUGCACAUGCCUGCCUUUCUGAUGCACGUCCAUGUUUUCUCUGCACCUCCCCGGUGGUGUUGGUAUAAAAAGCAGGCUUACAUCAGCAAGGGAUGAUUGUCGUCUCAUGCGAUCCUGGGAGAUGGCAGAAGUCCCGGGACACAUGGAGUGUGGGCUCUUUCGGAGGCUGUUGGAUCCCUCCUGAAUGUGUUGUGGCCAUGGAAGUAAGGCCAGUGGCUACGAGGGACAGUCUUCAUCUUGGGAGAUCCCUAGAGAGGGCAGGGAGCCCCUUGACAUGUGGAAUGUGAUCUCUGUUGGGUGCUGGUGGAUCCCACAGGUGGUCUGGCAUGGAAGAAGGCCAGAGGCUGCGAUGGAUCAUCUUUGUCUUGGGAGAUUCCUGGAGAUGGUGGGGAGCCCCUGGGCACGUGCAGCAUAUGUGGCGUGGGCUUCUUCAGGUGCUGGUGGAUCCCUCAGGAUGCUUUUCAAGGUUUUUCUAUGAGUUCUGUUAAAGAGUCUGAAAAUGGAGCGUAGAAGACAUGCUUCGAUUUCCAGGAUGGUUGUGUUUUCCAGAGAGGCGGAGGUAAACCACUGGCGCAGCCCUGCCUCCCACAGAUAAUUCCGGGUGCAGUGUUUCAUAUCUAGACUUGGACUUCUAUCCUACCAUACUUCUUUGUGUGCAGUUCAUUGUGGAACCAGCACAGAUUUUCAUACGAAAGUUAUUUCUUUUUAACCUCAAAAAGUGACAGAAUGGAGUGUAUCAUGAAAAAGUCUGACAUCAAAACCUCAAAAUGUGAUAUUGAUUGGGUGAGAUAGAAUUCCAUGGAAUUUCAUUGCCAAACCAGUGAAGUGCUAAUUUUGACAUUUGUACCAGCUAACGUAGCUGUGAAGAAACACACCAAUACACUUCUAAGGACAGCAUAGACCAAGAUCUAGGUUUCAUAUGGAUGAAUUUAUUCUUCCCUUUGAGGCAAGACAAGAAGGAAAGAAAGUAUUGGGAAUAAUGCUGCCCUCCCAUCCUCAAGGGCCAGUGGGAACUCUAAUAUUGAUUGGGUGAGAUACAAUUCCAUGGAAUUUUACCACUGAACCAGUGGAGGGCUAAUUUUGUCAUUUGUACCAGUUAACUAACUUGGGAGGAAACAGAACAACACACUCCUGAGAUUGGUUUUCACAGAAUUCCAUGGACUUUAACUGCUGAACCAAUGAUGCACUGAUUUUGUCACUUGUACCAGCUAACGCAUCUGGGAGGCAACAAAACAAUACUCUCCUGAGGUUAAUGUGGACCAAAAACUAGAUUUCAUAUAAAAGAGUUUAUUCCUUCUACUUGAGGUGUGACAUGAAGGAAAGUAAUGGAAAUAAUUCUGCCCUCCCAUUCUCAAGGGCCAGGGGGAAUUCAAAUAUUGAACGGAAGUGAUUUUGGAAUUGCAUGGAAUUCUCACUGCCAUCCCAAAGAAAUGCUGAUCUUGUCACUCUUACCUGUUUCAUUCCCUGGGGGCAGAACAAAAGGACGCACUCCAAAGAUCGGCAUGAACCAAGAACUGGGUUUCAUAUAAAAUAUUUUAUUCUGUCCUCUUGAGAUGUGACAUGAGAAAAGUAUUGAGAAUACUUCUAUCACCUCAUCUUCAAGAAUCCGUAGGAAUUCUCCCAUGGUGGACUUUACGGUUAACCUGAACAGGUCUUGGAAAAAGGACUUUAAACAUUCUCCUGUUCUGUGGAAUAAGUAUACUUUUUUCUGGACAUACACCUUGUCAGUGAGUUCCAUGUGAUACUAGAGUUGCAUAGAUUUUUAACCUUUACGCCAAUGAAGAUCUGAGGCAAACAUUGCCCCUUUUUUAGAAGUUUGCAUUUGUCACUGAUAACUGUAAUAAUUGAUCUUGUUGAAAAGCCUGGGAAAUGAAGAUCUGAUAUGUCACUUUUACCGGCUUCCUCAACUGAAAAAGAAUACAAUGAAACACGCUGAGAAUUUUUGUGCUUUCUCAGUCUUGCUGAUGAUCUUUCUAUGGGCCUGAAGCGUGGAGAGUGCCAGAGAGGCUGAUCCUCAGCAGUGUGGCAGAGGAAAGUUGGGUGCGACUAAGGGGUAUGCGGUGCCCACAUGCCACUGGGUCCUCAGCAGUACCACCUGAUUGGAAGUGAUAUUGGUGGAAGACAACAUUUUGCCGCUUGGAAUUCUCACCUCCACACCAAAGAAGUACUGUUUUUGUCAUUUGCACCAGCUUCUUUCUCCAGGAAAGAUCAAAACGAUGCACUGCAAGUGUGAUUGGUCCAGAUAGCUGCCUUAUCCAACUGCCUCCUUUGGACCACUUCAUCAUGGGACAGCUUGAUGCAAUCUACUUGACAAGACCCUGGAACCCCACACCCCUCAUGGAACCAGUGUCCACCUCCCAGUCACAGUGUGACCCCAGGGAACUCUUGCCUGCUUGCUUUAAACCCACCACUUAAAAGUCUCCACAGAAAACCUGUUUGAAUAGUACCCUUGACCCAAUAAGGGCAUUGGCCCCUGGGUGUCUCUCUCUCUCUCUCUCUCUCUCUCUCCCUCUCUCUCCCUCUCUCUCUCUCGCUCCCUGACCUCUGCGUGUGGACUCCAGGCAUGCCAUAUACCCCUCAGGACCUGAAGCAAAAGAAUGAAUUAAAGAAAACUCCAGAGAAUGAGCUGACAACCUACUCCCUGGUCAGUGGCUCUCCAUGCCUACCUGUGGUCUCUUGGACACCCUUGCAGAAGAUGACUUCCUGGGAACUCUUCUGGGAGUGAAUGUUAUCAGCAAAUUCCCAAAACAACACCCCUUAGACAAAAAGCCUCCUCACCUAUGCAUUGCCUAGACCACCCACUAAAGGUGAUGGCCACAAAGAGGUGGAUUUGUUGAGUUGGUGCCAUUCCUUCUACUGCCAGCUUCACCAAAACAAUGACACAGUCUUCCUUCCGCAUGGAGACUCUUCUCUUUCCUGUGUUGCAGUGGAUGCCUCCUGCAGAUAAGAAAUGCUUAACUGAGAAAUGCUCAUGUUGGGAUAUCAUCGAUGAGACUUUAAUUUGGGCAUGGUGACUGUUUCCCUUGCUGCCACUUGACUCAAUCCCAGGAGCCUCAGUAGAGGAUAUAAUAUUACACAAGAUGCUCAAAAUGGUGGAAUUGCUCAGUGCUCCCAUAAAUAUACAUUUAUAAUUUUCAUUUGCCACAUGGUAAACUGAAAAAUACAGACUAUAUUAAAAAGAAACUGCAUGAUUUUUUUUCAAAAAUUCAAAGCAUAUUUAAAUAAUAUAUAAAUUAAAUGCCCUCCUCUCUUCCAAUUCUGUCCCUAUAGUUUUCCUCUAUUAAGUGAACUACAUGCAUUCUUUUAGUGGAUAGAUGCACACAAACACACAAGCCAUUAUGGGGAAGGAUCCACGUGUGUGGCCAUAUUGUAACACAUUUUUCUGCAAAUCACCUCUUUCAUUUAACAGCCCUUAUUCAAUGGCCUUUUUCUUUUUCAGUAGUACAUACACAUCUGUGUCAUUUGUUGAAUGACGACAUGAAUGUUUUGUAGAUAAAAUAUAAUUAAAUGUUUUAAGCAUUUCUCACUCAUAGAUAUUUAUGUUAGCACCAAAUUUCUGUGCAAUGAACCUCCCUAUAUAUCAGUAAUUUUGCAUUUGUCUAUAAUAUCAUAAUAAAUUACUUAUCAGUUGAAUUACUGGGAUUAAGUAUGUGCACACUUUAUAUUUAUAUUUUGAAAAUUAUUGCAAGAUUGCCUUCAAAAAUGUGGUUAACAACUUUAUCUUCAAAUGGCAAUGAAUGAGAUUGCCAGCUUUCCUACAGCCUCACAGACAAUGGAUUUUAUAAAUAUUUAACAUUUUUGCCAAUGUGAUCACCCAAACUAUUGUCUUAAAUUGUAUCUCUUUUGUUUUUGAGUUUGGUCAUUUUUUCAUGUUUAUUAGCCAUCUGUAUUUUUUAAUUUCUUCUUUAUGUCCAAUUUUGUGGGUGGGAGGAGGAUUUAGUCUCUUCCUGAUUUCGAAGAGCUCAUUUACUAUUUCGGGAAAUAAGAUUUGGAUUGUCAACCAUUAUAGCUAUUUUUUACACACUUUUCAACUUUGUUUUUGUUAUAAGAAUGUGUAUGAUUGUUACAUGUCCAAGUAUAACCAUGUUCGCUUUUAUGGCUUCUGAGUUUCAUGUCAUUUUUGGAAAGAUAUAUAUAUUGAGUCCAUAAAACCCUUCACCUAUGUUAAAUUCUAAUUCUUUUGUGUUUUUUUAAUUCAAAUUCUUAAAUCAUGAGAAAUUUUUUUGUUUUGAAAUCUUAAAGUUGCCAAGUUACUUGCCAUUACUUGCGAUUAUUUGCCAAUAAUUGCCCAUUUAUCUGUACCGCCAUCUUGCGCAUAUGCUGUACUCUCAUCUGUGACUGGCUCCAUUUUUGUUCUGUGGAUUUGUGUGUCUCUUCUUCUGCCUCCUGUCUCGUGUCUGCUCGUUGGAAGAAAUUACAGUUUAGACUGCAAUUUCAUCAACUUUAAUAAAUCAAUUGAGGGGAGAAUUGGUUUUUAAAAAUAUUAAGUAAGUCUUCGUAUCCAAGGACAAGGUAUGUCUUUUCUUAUUCAAUAAUUUUAAUUACUGUUAAUAUUUUCACUGUGGUGAUGGGAGUUUUUCUUUUAAUUUAUUUUCUUGUUCAUUUUUUGUAUCUAAAGUUUUUGUUUUGUUUUGUUUUGGGGGUAAGUUGUCACCUUACUGUUUCUUGUUGCUUUUCAGAUUUUUUCAAAGUAUAGACUAAAUCCUUCACAAAUAUUUAAAGUUUUUAUUUUCCCCCUUCAUAUUGAUCCUGAUUUUAGUUAUGUUGACAAAGUCCACAGACUGUUACUAUCAGAACACUUGAACAGUUAUGGAAAUAUUACCUACCCUUGAUUUAAUCAGAGUUUAAUGGUAUGCUUCUUUGGUUUGACUGGCACAUUGUCGCUGGUCAUUUCCUCCCAAAGACCACCAGAAAGAGCUAUGAUCAAGCAAAGCUGAGUUUGUUAAACUUACCUGCAGCAAGGGAAAACACCACCUUGAUAGGGUUUAAUAAUGUUUCAAAAUCAAGAAAUGAGGCUUUGGGGUCUGGGCAGGGAACUAAUUAGAAAUGGGCAAAAUUUGUCAUGCAAUACCUUGUGGGAAAGUGAGAUGAGGUUCUUAAUGUGAGUAUUGAUGGUGAAAUCAUUUUCUAGGUGAGCUGUUUGCCUAUAUAAAGAUGUUAUCAAUGACAGAAGAACUAUUUGCCUAGAUAAACAAACUGAAUUUAUUUAUUGGUUUACAGUUUUAUCUUGCUGGGCAGGACUCUGCUGGGGGUGGUAUCAGGUCUUAUUCCCAAUAGGUAAGUUAUUUGGAUAUGGGUGGUCUUAAUCAUCAAUGUGUAAAAUGCUGAUUUUAAGUGCGAAAUACUUUGUCUACCAUGUUAGGAAAGUCUGCCACCUUUUAUCUUUUUUAAGGAAUUUUAAUCAAAACCAGGUGGUAGAUAUAAUCAAAUUGUUUUGCAGAAUCAAUUUUCCUGUUCUCUUUAAAGACUUUUAUCACUGUGAAUUAAUUUACUAUUAUUGCAACUUCCUUUAAUUCCUUGAAUGAACAGACCCUACUGGUUUUAAAAAUGUUUUAUUCUUUUAAUUUACUACUUAAUUGUGGGUAUUUUAAUUUGAUUUGGAAUUUUUACAAGUAUACAACUAAGUGAAAUUGAUCUGUGAUUUUUCUUUUUUGUGCUAUUUUUGUCAUGUUUUGAUAUCAGAUAUUCUGGUUGUGUUAAAAUAAUUUUGAGGAUUUUCUUCUUAUACUGUGUUCUAGAGUGGGUAAAAAAGCCCUAGUCUCACUAUCAGUGUUUAAGUGAACACAUCAGUGACAUCAUCUGGACUCUCCUUUGUUUUUGCUGGUUUGGAGUUAGGACAUCUAGAAGUUUUUUUCUUUUUUUCCUUUUUUUGUAUGGUUAUUGCUUGUUCUUUGUUUUGUGUCAAAUUUAACCUGUUUUCUCUUAGCAAAUCACAGCUCAUGCAGAUUUUCAAACACAUUAGCCUUGUUAUACAAAGUGUUCUUUCAUCAUUCUAUUAAAUUUCCAUUUUCAUUCCAGUUAUAGUUAUUUCUGCUGUGCCUUUGUUAAUGAAUAAGUUUAAACAGUGGAUGUUUAGCAUCACUAGCCUUCCCCUUCCAUCUCCCUUAAUCAGGACCUUGGUAUAAUUUAUCAGGUAUUUUUUAAGGUUCUAAUUUACUUAUAUAUAUUGUUUCUGUAUUCUUUUGUUUCUUUUCUUAAUAAAUUCUUAAA
This 7640-nucleotide long non-coding RNA is filed under the name Homo sapiens (human). Its description in RNAcentral is "small nucleolar RNA host gene 14". The stretch from base 1 to 92 matches the Rfam family "Small nucleolar RNA SNORD116". The record is from RNAcentral. Lineage: Eukaryota; Metazoa; Chordata; Mammalia; Primates; Hominidae.